AACGAACGCUGGCGGCAGGCUUAACACAUGCAAGUCGGACGCAUGUCUUCGGACAUGAGUGGCAGACGGGUGAGUAACGCGUGGGAAUCUACCCUUUGGUACGGGAUAGCUCCGGGAAACUGGGAUUAAUACCGUAUGUGCCCUGGACUUAAGGUUUGGGGAAAGAUUGAUCGCCAAGGGAUGAGCCCGCGUCGGAUUAGCUAGUUGGUGGGGUAAAGGCCCACCAAGGCGACGAUCCGUAGCNGGUCUGAGAGGAUGACCAGCCACCAUUGGGACUGAGACACGGCCCAAACUCCUACGGGAGGCAGCGAGUGGGGAAUAUUGGACAAUGGGCGCAAGCCUUGAUCCAGCCAUGCCGCGUGAGUGAUGAAGGUCUUAGGAUUAGUAAAGCUCUUUCACCGGGGGACGAUAAUGACGGUACCCGGAGAAGAAGCCCCGGCUAACCUUCGUGCCAGCCGCCGCGGUAAU
RNAcentral lists this ribosomal RNA (468 nucleotides) under uncultured bacterium. RNAcentral's name for it is "bacterial SSU rRNA". It matches the Rfam family "Bacterial small subunit ribosomal RNA", at positions 29 to 524 of the family's 1533-position model. The record is from RNAcentral.